Molecule: long non-coding RNA, 2701 nt
Filed under: Homo sapiens (human)
Lineage: Eukaryota; Metazoa; Chordata; Mammalia; Primates; Hominidae
Description: non-protein coding lnc-NRTN-1:1
Source: RNAcentral
GAGACGGAGUUUCACUUUUGUUGCCCAGGCUGGAGUGCAAUGGCACGAUCUCAGCUCACUGCAACCUCCGCCUCCCGGGUUCAAGCGAUUCUCUUGCCUCAGCCUCCUGAGUAGCUGGGAUUAGAGGCACGUGCCAUCAUGCCUGGCUAAUUUUUGUAUUUUUAGUAGAGAUGGGGUUUCACCAUGUUGUCCAGGCUGGUCUUGAACUCCUGACCUCAGGUGAUCUGCCUGCCUCGGCCUCCCAAAGUGCUAGGAUUACAGGCGUGCACCACGGCGCCCGGCCCAAUGCUAAUUUAAACUUAAAAAUAGAUACUGGCCGGGAGUAAUGGCUUACACCUAUAAUCCCAAUGCUUUGGGCGGCUGAGGUGGGAGGAUCGCUUGAUUCCAAGAGUUUGAGACCAGCCUGAGCAGCAUAGCAAGACCUCAAGACCUCAUCUCUACAACGAAUUUUAUUAUUUAUUAUUAUUAUUUUGCCAGACAUGGUGGCCUGUAGUCUCAGCUACUCAGGAUGCUGAGGCAGGAGGAUUUCUGGAGCCCAGAAGUUCAAGGCUGCUGUAAGCCAUGGUUGCACUAUUGCACUUCUGCUUAGACAAUAGAAUGAGACCGUGUCUCAAAAUAAAUAAAUAAAUAAAUAACAACAAAAAAUAAAAACACAGAAAACAAAAACCACAAAAAAGCACACAAGAAACAGAUACUCAAAAAGAAAAAAAGCAAUGACUGGUAUUACAGGCAGUAAUUGGGAAACUUUUGAGUACCUUCAGAACAUCUUGGAUGGGCAAAUCUACUUCUUCACCUGUACUUUUUAUGUUUGUUUGUUUGUUCUGAGAUGGAAUCUUGCUCUGUCACCCAGGCUGGAGCACAGGCGCAUACCAAAGUUCUGGAAAAAGACUCAAGAGACAGCCCUCGAGGGACACUCAGAGCCCGGACUGGGAGGGAGGUUGAAUUUUAACCAAGUAUUCCUUUGUGCUGUCGGGCUCUUGGGCUGCCAGUGAAAGGUUAAUGUUUAGAGAUACAUUUAAUAUUAAUAUAUUAUCAUGUGGCCCCUGGGUUUAUGGCGACCUCUUCCUAGGAGACAGUGAAGUCUUUGCCGGUGACCUUCAGGAGGGGAGAUUGGGGGAAACGGGGAACGGGAGUCCAGGAGAGAGAUCUCACCCAAGGUACUUUCCCUGGAAAAUGAUCGAUCCACGCCACAAAGAUCAGGAUGCAAAAAAACAAAGCCAGAAAGCAAACCGCAUUCUAAGCCCUCUUUUACCACCGGGAGUGGCAGAGGCAGAGAAAAUCCGGGGCCAGGAAGGAUGAAGGGGUGUAGGCUGCUGAUGGGGUCGGGGGGCACGGGAUUCUACCGCAGAGCUCUGCAAGAGAGACAGACAGACACCCACUUCCUCCUGGUUUGGCAAAUCAGCCAGACCUCCCAUAUCCUCAGCCCACCUCGGUGCAUCCAGAAAGACCCCUGCCUGCGACUAGGGGCUGCUGGCCAAAUGCCAGGCCACUGCACAGCCUGCAGACCCUCCCCCAGGGAUCUUGUGCCAGCCCACCCGCACUCUGAAUUACAGCAGACAGGACUGAGGCUGAGGGGAGGAGGCUCGGAGCCAGGAGGCCUUUCCCUGGACCCAUGCGAUCCGGGUUGGGGGUGAAAGUGGGACAAGAGGCCUUACCUGGGGGGGCCAGUGUGCAGAGGGCCCUAGAGCUGAGAGGCCGCGGACGGAGUAACAGCUGGAUUCUGAGGACGUGGAAGAGGCCACACCACGCAGCAGAAGGAAGGAGGAAGUGUACCCGGAGCUGAAACCAGGCCCUUUCCAACCACCACACCUGUCAUCAGGUGACCCAGGGCAUCCUGUCCUGGAGCCCGGACAUCCUUUGAAAACAAAUCGUGGGGCUCCCCUAAUCCCCGUUGCAGAACCAAACAGGGUGAAGGGAUUUGGAGACUCAGGUCAUGCAUGACCUUGCCCCACCUGUGGCUUCAAUGCGAUGUGGCUUUGAGUACAAAGUGAAAAGGCUGACCUGAACCACCGGUUCCCAAAGCGGGUUCCACAGGGACACCAGGGGUUCCUUGGGAGGUGGGAAUGAGGAAGUGAGCAGAAUUUCUACCUUUCCGCUUUCCUUCCCACCAGAUCCCACCUUCUCACUCAGUUGGCCCAUCACCAAAUAUUUCCUGAGCACUAAGUGCCAGGCCAAGGGAUCUUGCAGGAAACCGGUGGGCAAGUCAGGCAACUCAUGAACCUUGGAAGGGAACUUUCUUCAAUUAAAAUUGCAGCCUUUUGAAUAAAAAAGGGAUGGAAGGGCAUUCCAGUUACAAGGAACAACCUUCGCAAAGGCCCUGAGGCAGCAGAAAUGCAGGCAUGUUGAGGAACUGCAGGAGGAGUCUCAGCAGGCUGGGUCUUCACCACUGGAGAGGAGGCAGAGCUGUUGCAGAGGCUGGGCCACGGUCAGCCAUAGGGUGUUCAGCACCAAGGCAAUAGGGAGCCAUGUGAGGCUUCAAGCAGAGGGGUUACCAUGUCGAUACAUGUUUUCAGAUGCUCUCUUCUGGUAGGCUGGGCACAGGUCCCAUAUUGGUGGCAGAAGCUUCCUCCGGUGGCCUCAACAAGCCCCUCUGUGUGCCUCAAAGCCACUUCCUUUCCCCACCCACUCCUGCAGGGCAGUGCAAAGCAGAAGUCCAGGGAGCUAUGCAAACUUCCUGGAAUGGAGAGAAAUGAUCUGGAAU